This 460-nucleotide ribosomal RNA is filed under the name uncultured bacterium. RNAcentral's name for it is "partial 16S ribosomal RNA". It matches the Rfam family "Bacterial small subunit ribosomal RNA", at positions 338 to 795 of the family's 1533-position model. The record is from RNAcentral.
CCUACGGGAGGCAGCAGUGAGGAAUAUUGGUCAAUGGGCGUAAGCCUGAACCAGCCAAGUCGCGUGAGGGAAGAAGGUUCUAUGGAUCGUAAACCUCUUUUAUAAGGGAAUAAAGUGCGGGACGUGUCCCGUUCCGUGUGUACCCUAUGAAUAAGGAUCGGCUAACUCCGUGCCAGCAGCCGCGGUAAUACGGAGGAUCCGAGCGUUAUCCGGAUUUAUUGGGUUUAAAGGGUGCGUAGGCGGCCAGUUAAGUCAGCGGUGAAAGUUGGUGGCUCAACCAUAGAAUUGCCGUUGAAACUGGGUGUCUUGAGUAAGUGUGAGGCAUGCGGAAUGCGUGGUGUAGCGGUGAAAUGCUUAGAUAUCACGCAGAACCCCGAUUGCGAAGGCAGCAUGCCGGGGCAUAACUGACGCUGAUGCACGAAAGCGUGGGGAUCGAACAGGAUUAGAUACCCCAGUAGUC